UGCCUUGUAGCUCAGUGGUAGAGCAGUCGCCUGUUAAGCGAACGGUCGUAGGUUCGAUACCUACCAGGGCAGCCA
Molecule: transfer RNA, 75 nt
Filed under: Tolypothrix sp. NIES-4075
Lineage: Bacteria; Bacillati; Cyanobacteriota; Cyanophyceae; Nostocales; Tolypothrichaceae
Also listed under: 1 other name
Description: tRNA-Asn
Rfam family: tRNA
About the family: Transfer RNA (tRNA) molecules are approximately 80 nucleotides in length. Their secondary structure includes four short double-helical elements and three loops (D, anti-codon, and T loops).
Source: RNAcentral